RNAcentral lists this ribosomal RNA (555 nucleotides) under uncultured beta proteobacterium. RNAcentral's name for it is "bacterial SSU rRNA". It matches the Rfam family "Bacterial small subunit ribosomal RNA", at positions 369 to 915 of the family's 1533-position model. The record is from RNAcentral. Lineage: Bacteria; Pseudomonadati; Pseudomonadota; Betaproteobacteria.
CAAUGGGAGCAAGCCUGAUCCAGCCAUUCCGCGUGAGUGAAGAAGGCCUUCGGGUUGUAAAGCUCUUUCGCAAGGGAAGAAAACUUACUCAAUAACACUGGGUGAGGCUGACGGUACCUUGAUAAGAAGCACCGGCUAACUACGUGCCAGCAGCCGCGGUAAUACGUAGGGUGCGAGCGUUAAUCGGAAUUACUGGGCGUAAAGCGUGCGCAGGCGGUUUUGUAAGUCAGAUGUGAAAGCCCCGGGCUCAACCUGGGAACUGCGUUUGAAACUACAAGGCUAGAGUGUAGCAGAGGGGGGUAGAAUUCCACGUGUAGCAGUGAAAUGCGUAGAGAUGUGGAGGAAUACCAAUGGCGAAGGCAGCCCCCUGGGUUAACACUGACGCUCAUGCACGAAAGCGUGGGGAGCAAACAGGAUUAGAUACCCUGGUAGUCCACGCCCUAAACGAUGUCUACUAGUUGUUGGGAGAGUAAAAUCUCUUAGUAACGCAGCUAACGCGUGAAGUAGACCGCCUGGGGAGUACGGUCGCAAGAUUAAAACUCAAAGGAAUUGACG